UCUCCGGAGAAGUCCAACACUGGAUGCCGAAGGGGCAAGGGUAUCUUCCAUACUCCAAUCUCUCAGGCAAAAGGACGGAGUUG
RNAcentral lists this non-coding RNA (83 nucleotides) under pig gut metagenome. RNAcentral's name for it is "Glycine riboswitch". It matches the Rfam family "Glycine riboswitch aptamer", at positions 9 to 86 of the family's 94-position model. From Rfam's summary of the family: This family represents the bacterial glycine riboswitch. Glycine riboswitches usually consist of two metabolite-binding aptamers domains with similar structures in tandem. The record is from RNAcentral.